Molecule: ribosomal RNA, 494 nt
Filed under: uncultured bacterium
Lineage: Bacteria
Description: partial 16S ribosomal RNA
Rfam family: Bacterial small subunit ribosomal RNA
Source: RNAcentral
GACGAACGCUGGCGGCGUGCUUAACACAUGCAAGUCGAACGGAAAGGCCUGCUUUCCCUUGUGGAUUGCGGGUACUCGAGUGGCGAACGGGUGAGUAACACGUGAGUGAUCUGCCCCCAACUUGGGUAUAAGCCUGGGAAACUGGGUCUAAUUCCCGAUAGGACUGCAGGGUGGUGCCUGUGGUGGAAAACGAUUUUCUAGUGGUUGGGGAUGAGCUCGCGGCCUAUCAGCUUGUUGGUGGGGUAAUGGCCUACCAAGGCGGCGACGGGUAGCCGGCCUGAGAUGGUGGACGGCCACAUUGGGACUGAGAUACGGCCCAGACUCCUACGGGAGGUAGCAGUGGGGAAUAAUGCACAAUGGGCGGAAGCCUGAUGCAGCGACGCCGCGUGGGGGAUGACGGCCUUCGGGUUGUAAACUCCUUUCGACCGCGAGGAAGCCACCUGGUUGGAAGGGUGGUGGCGGUAGUGGUAGAAGAAGCACCGGCUAACUACGUG